This 453-nucleotide small RNA is filed under the name Pan troglodytes (chimpanzee). Its description in RNAcentral is "processed transcript". Lineage: Eukaryota; Metazoa; Chordata; Mammalia; Primates; Hominidae. The record is from RNAcentral.
AGUGCUAAAUACCCCUCCUACUACACCUGAAUCGCCUUCAUCAGUCACUGUAACAGAAGGCAGCCGGCAGCAGUCUUCUGUAACAGUAUCAGAACCACUGGCUCCAAACCAAGAAGAGGUUCGAAGUAUCAAGAGUGAAACUGAUAGCACAAUUGAGGUGGAUAGUGUUGCUGGGGAGCUCCAAGACCUCCAGUCUGAAGGGAAUAGCUCGCCAGCAGGUUUUGAUGCCAGUGUGAGCUCAAGCAGUAGUAAUCAGCCAGAACCAGAACAUCCUGAAAAAGACCCCUCCACCCUUAACCAAAUACUGUAUGUAGGGGUUUGGAGCAACCAACUGUCCAGGCACUGCUUUCCUCAGACAACCGUGUCAAACUGAUUUUCAAGCCUGACUAACUUGUCCUGUACAGGUCAGAAAAGAGUGAAAGAUGCUCAGGGAGGAGGAAGUUCAUCAAAAAA